RNAcentral lists this ribosomal RNA (468 nucleotides) under uncultured bacterium. RNAcentral's name for it is "partial 16S ribosomal RNA". It matches the Rfam family "Bacterial small subunit ribosomal RNA", at positions 28 to 507 of the family's 1533-position model. The record is from RNAcentral.
GACGAACGCUGGCGGCGUGCUUAACACAUGCAAGUCGAACGGAAAGGCCCUGCUUUUGUAGGGUGCUCGAGUGGCGAACGGGUGAGUAACACGUGAGUAACCUGCCCUUGACUUUGGGAUAACUUCAGGAAACUGGGGCUAAUACCGGAUAGGAGCUCCUGCUGCAUGGUGGGGGUUGGAAAGUUUCGGCGGUUGGGGAUGGACUCGCGGCUUAUCAGCUUGUUGGUGGGGUAGUGGCUUACCAAGGCUUUGACGGGUAGCCGGCCUGAGAGGGUGACCGGCCACAUUGGGACUGAGAUACGGCCCAGACUCCUACGGGAGGCAGCAGUGGGGAAUAUUGCACAAUGGGCGGAAGCCUGAUGCAGCAACGCCGCGUGCGGGAUGACGGCCUUCGGGUUGAAAACCGCUUUCGCCUGUGACGAAGCGUGAGUGACGGUAAUGGGUAAAGAAGCACCGGCUAACUACGUG